Lemur catta (Ring-tailed lemur) is the source of this 105-nucleotide small nucleolar RNA. RefSeq annotates it as small nucleolar RNA U13. The record is from RefSeq and is a predicted model, not a curated record. The transcript has a single exon. NCBI's taxonomy places the organism in Eukaryota, Metazoa, Chordata, Mammalia, Primates, Lemuridae.
GUCCUUUCAUAGUUCGUGAGAGUGAGAUAAUUAGGUUUCUCCCUCAUGUGUGAGAUGUACCUCCCUUAAACCUUGUUACAACGUCGUCACAUGACCCGUCUGACA